This 431-nucleotide ribosomal RNA is filed under the name uncultured bacterium. Its description in RNAcentral is "partial 16S ribosomal RNA". It matches the Rfam family "Bacterial small subunit ribosomal RNA", at positions 29 to 505 of the family's 1533-position model. The record is from RNAcentral.
AACGAACGCUGGCGGCAUGCCUAACACAUGCAAGUCGAACGAGACCUUCGGGUCUAGUGGCGCACGGGUGCGUAACGCGUGGGAACCUGCCCUUAGGUUCGGAAUAACUCCCCGAAAGGGGUGCUAAUACCGGAUAAUGUCUUCGGACCAAGGAUUUAUCGCCUUUGGAUGGGCCCGCGUUGGAUUAGGUAGUUGUUAGGGUAAAAGCCUAACAGGGCGACGAUCCAUAGCUGGUCUGAGAGGAGGACCAGCCACACUGGGACUGAGACACGGCCCAGACUCCGACGGGAGGCAGCAGUGGGGAAUAUUGGACAAGGGGCGAAAGCCUGAGCCAGCGAUGCCGCGUGAGUGAUGAAGGCGGUAGGGUUGUAAAGCUCUUUUACCCGGGAUGAUAAUGACAGUACCGGGAGAAUAAGCUCCGGCUAACUCCG